UGGAGUUGCCGUGACAACCAGGAGGUUGGCUUAGAAGCAGCCACCCUUUAAAGAGUGCGUAAUAGCUCACUGGUCAAGUGAUUCCGCGCCGACAAUGUAGCGGGGCUCAAGCACACCACCGAAGCUGUGGCAUUGACACACUGCCUGGCCCCUUGUGGGUCCAAGCGUGUUGAUGGGUAGGGGAGCGUCGUGUGGCGAGUGAAGCGGCGGAGUGAUCCAGUCGUGGAUGCCACACGAGUGAGAAUGCAGGCAUGAGUAGCGAAAGACGGGUGAGAAACCCGUCCGCCGAAUAUCCAAGGGUUCCAGGGUCAAGCUAAUCUGCCCUGGGUAAGUCGGGACCUAAGGCGAGGCCGACAGGCGUAGUCGAUGGACAUCCGGUUGAUAUUCCGGAACCGGCGAAGAACCGCCCCUGAUGAAUCCAGUGAUGCUAAACGUCUGAAGCUGGCCGCAGACACCUUCGGGUGUCACUGGCCAGUGGAACGCGUGACCCGAUCUGGUAGUAGUCAAGCGAUGGGGAGACGCAGGAAGGUAGCCUCCGCGUGGCGAUGGUUGUCCACGUCCAAGGGUGUAGGGAGUCAGGUAGGCAAAUCCGCCUGGCACAUAUCCUGAGACCUGAUAGUGACCGCCUAUGGCGGGAAGCAGGGUGAUCCUAUGCUGCCGAGAAAAUCCUCUAGCGAGGUUCUAGCCGCCCGUACCCCAAACCGACUCAGGUGGAUAAGUAGAGAAUACUAAGGCGAUCGAGUGAAUCGUGGUUAAGGAAUUCGGCAAAAUGCCCCCGUAACUUCGGGAGAAGGGGGGCCCGGAUUCUGAAGCCCCUUGCGGGCUAGGAAGAUGGGCCGCAGAGACCAGGGAGAAGCGACUGUUUACUAAAAACACAGGUCCGUGCGAAGUCGCAAGACGAUGUAUACGGACUGACGCCUGCCCGGUGCUGGAAGGUUAAGAGGACUGGUUAGCCCCUUGUGGGCGAAGCUGAGAAUUUAAGCCCCAGUAAACGGCGGUGGUAACUAUAACCAUCCUAAGGUAGCGAAAUUCCUUGUCGGGUAAGUUCCGACCUGCACGAAUGGCGUAACGACUUCUCCACUGUCUCAACCGCGAACUCGGCGAAAUUGCAUUACGAGUAAAGAUGCUCGUUACGCGCAGCAGGACGGAAAGACCCCGGGACCUUCACUAUAGCUUGGUAUUGGUGAUCGGGACGGCUUGUGUAGGAUAGGUGGGAGACUGUGAAGCAUGCACGCCAGUGUGUGUGGAGUCAUCGUUGAAAUACCACUCUGGUCGUUCUGGUUGUCUAACCUCGGUCCGUGAUCCGGAUCAGGGACAUUGCCUGGUGGGUAGUUUAACUGGGGCGGUUGCCUCCUAAAAUGUAACGGAGGCGCUCAAAGGUUCCCUCAGCCUGGUUGGCAAUCAGGUGGCGAGUGCAAGUGUACAAGGGAGCUUGACUGCGAGACAGACAUGUCGAGCAGGGACGAAAGUCGGAACUAGUGACCCGACGGUGGCUUGUGGAAGCGCCGUCGCUCAACGGAUAAAAGGUACCCCGGGGAUAACAGGCUGAUCUUCCCCAAGAGUCCAUAUCGACGGGAUGGUUUGGCACCUCGAUGUCGGCUCGUCGCAUCCUGGGGGUGGAGUAUCUCCCAAGGGUUGGGCUGUUCGCCCAUUAAAGCGGCACGCGAGCUGGGUUUAGAACGUCGUGAGACAGUUCGGUCCCUAUCCGCUGUGCGCGUAGGAAACUUGAGAGAGGCUGACCCUAGUACGAGAGGACCGGGUUGGACGAACCUCUGGUGUGUGAGUUGUUCUGCCAAGGGCACCGCUCAUUAGCUACGUUCGGGAGUGAUAACCGCUGAAAGCAUCUAAGCGGGAAGCAUGUCUCAAGAUGAGGUUUCCAUGGGGCUUUGCCCUGAGAGGCUCCCAGUAGACGACUGGGUUGAUAGGCCAGAUGUGGAAGUGCAGCAAUGCAUGGAGCUGACUGGUACUAAUAAGCCGAUGACUUGACA
RNAcentral lists this ribosomal RNA (1988 nucleotides) under Janibacter anophelis NBRC 107843. RNAcentral describes it as "bacterial LSU rRNA". It matches the Rfam family "Bacterial large subunit ribosomal RNA", at positions 1076 to 2925 of the family's 2925-position model. Lineage: Bacteria; Bacillati; Actinomycetota; Actinomycetes; Micrococcales; Intrasporangiaceae. The record is from RNAcentral.